RNAcentral lists this ribosomal RNA (253 nucleotides) under uncultured bacterium. RNAcentral's name for it is "partial 16S ribosomal RNA". It matches the Rfam family "Bacterial small subunit ribosomal RNA", at positions 524 to 776 of the family's 1533-position model. The record is from RNAcentral.
UACGGGGGGAGCAAGCGUUGUUCGGAUUUACUGGGCGUAAAGGGCGCGUAGGCGGCGCCGCAAGUCGACUGUGAAAUCUCCGGGCUUAACCCGGAAAGGUCAGCCGAUACUGCGGGGCUAGAGUGCAGAAGGGGCAACUGGAAUUCUCGGUGUAGCGGUGAAAUGCGUAGAUAUGCGGAGGAACACCGAUGGCGAAGGCAAUCCCCUGGGCCUGCACUGACGCUCAUGCACGAAAGCGUGGGGAGCAAACAGG